AUGGGGGAAAAUGAGGAUGAGAAGCAGGCCCAGGCAGGGCAGGUUUUUGAGAACUUUGUCCAGGCAUCCACAUGCAAAGGUACCCUUCAGGCCUUCAACAUCCUCACACGACACCUGGACCUAGACCCUCUGGACCACAGAAACUUUUAUUCCAAGCUCAAGUCCAAGGUGACCACCUGGAAAGCCAAAGCCCUGUGGUACAAAUUGGAUAAGCGUGGUUCCCACAAAGAGUAUAAGCGAGGCAAGUCGUGCACGAACACCAAGUGUCUCAUAGUUGGGGGAGGACCCUGUGGCUUGCGCACUGCCAUUGAACUUGCCUACCUGGGAGCCAAAGUGGUCGUGGUGGAGAAGAGGGACACAUUCUCCCGGAACAACGUGCUACACCUCUGGCCUUUCACCAUCCAUGACCUUCGGGGCCUGGGAGCCAAGAAGUUCUAUGGGAAGUUCUGUGCUGGCUCCAUCGACCAUAUCAGUAUUCGCCAACUACAGCUCAUCCUAUUCAAGGUGGCCCUGAUGCUGGGAGUUGAAAUCCAUGUGAAUGUGGAGUUCGUGAAGGUUCUAGAGCCUCCUGAAGAUCAAGAAAACCAAAAAAUUGGCUGGCGGGCAGAGUUUCUCCCUACAGACCAUUCUCUGUCGGAGUUUGAGUUUGACGUCAUCAUUGGUGCCGAUGGCCGCAGGAACACCCUGGAAGGGUUCAGAAGAAAAGAAUUCCGUGGGAAGCUGGCGAUUGCCAUCACCGCCAACUUCAUAAACAGAAACAGCACAGCGGAAGCCAAGGUGGAAGAGAUUAGUGGCGUGGCUUUCAUCUUCAAUCAGAAAUUUUUUCAGGACCUUAAAGAAGAAACAGGCAUAGAUCUUGAGAACAUUGUUUACUACAAGGACUGCACCCACUAUUUUGUCAUGACAGCCAAGAAGCAGAGCCUGCUCGACAAAGGUGUCAUCAUUAACGACUACAUCGACACAGAGAUGCUGCUGUGUGCGGAGAACGUGAACCAAGACAACCUGCUAUCCUAUGCCCGGGAAGCUGCAGACUUUGCCACCAACUACCAGCUGCCAUCCUUAGACUUUGCCAUGAACCACUAUGGGCAGCCUGAUGUGGCCAUGUUUGACUUUACCUGCAUGUAUGCCUCAGAGAAUGCGGCCCUGGUGCGGGAGCGGCAGGCGCACCAGCUGCUCGUGGCCCUCGUGGGUGACAGCUUGCUUGAGCCAUUUUGGCCCAUGGGUACAGGCUGUGCCCGUGGCUUCCUGGCAGCCUUUGACACGGCAUGGAUGGUGAAGAGCUGGAACCAGGGCACCCCUCCCCUGGAGCUGCUGGCUGAAAGGGAAAGUCUCUACCGGCUGUUACCUCAGACAACCCCGGAGAACAUCAACAAGAACUUUGAGCAGUACACGUUGGACCCAGGGACACGGUACCCAAACCUCAACUCACACUGUGUCAGGCCCCAUCAGGUGAAGCAUUUGUAUAUCACUAAGGAGCUGGAGCACUACCCUCUCGAGAGACUGGGCUCAGUGAGGAGAUCUGUCAACCUCUCCAGGAAGGAGUCAGAUAUCCGGCCCAGCAAGCUCCUAACCUGGUGCCAGCAGCAGACAGAGGGCUACCAGCAUGUCAACGUCACCGACCUGACCACAUCCUGGCGCAGUGGGUUGGCCCUGUGUGCCAUCAUCCACCGCUUCCGGCCUGAGCUCAUCAACUUUGACUCUUUGAAUGAAGAUGAUGCUGUGGAGAACAACCAGCUCGCAUUUGAUGUGGCUGAGCGAGAGUUUGGGAUCCCUCCAGUGACCACGGGCAAAGAGAUGGCGUCUGCCCAGGAGCCUGACAAGCUCAGCAUGGUCAUGUACCUCUCCAAGUUCUACGAGCUCUUCCGGGGCACCCCACUGAGGCCCGUAGAUUCUUGGCGCAAAAACUAUGGAGAAAAUGCUGACCUCAGCUUGGCCAAAUCAUCCAUUUCUAAUAACUAUCUCAACCUUACAUUUCCAAGGAAGAGGACUCCACGAGUGGAUGGUCAAACCGGAGAGAAUGACAUGAACAAACGGAGGCGGAAGGGCUUCAAUAACCUGGACGAGCCUUCAAACUUUUCCAGCCUUAGCUUGGGCUCCAAUCAAGAGUGUGGGAGCAGUAAGGAAGGCGGAAAUCAGAAUAAAGUCAAGUCCAUGGCGAAUCAGCUGCUGGCCAAGUUUGAGGAGAGCACUCGGAACCCCUCACUCAUGAAGCAGGAAUCUAUGCGAAAGUCAUUUCCCCUUAACCUGGGAGGCAGCGACAUGUGUUACUUCUGUAAGAAGCGUGUGUAUGUGAUGGAACGGCUGAGCGCUGAGGGCCACUUCUUCCACCGGGAGUGUUUCCGCUGCAGCGUCUGUGCCACCACCUUGCGCCUGGCCGCCUACACCUUUGACUGCGAUGAAGGCAAAUUUUACUGCAAGCCUCACUUCAUUCACUGUAAAACCAAUAGCAAACAACGGAAGAGACGGGCAGAGUUGAAGCAACAAAGAGAGGAGGAGGCGACAUGGCAAGAGCAGGAAGCCCCUCGGAGAGACACUCCCACUGAAAGUUCUUGCGCAGUGGCCGCCAUUGGCACCCCGGAAGGCAGCCCCCCAGGUAUCUCCACCUCCUUCUUUAGGAAGGUGCUGGGCUGGCCCCUCAGGCUGCCGAGGGACCUGUGUAACUGGAUGCAGGGACUCCUGCAAGCCGCUGGCCUCCAUAUCAGGGACAAUGCUUACAACUACUGUUACAUGUACGAGCUCCUGAGCCUGGGGCUGCCACUCCUCUGGGCGUUCUCUGAGGUCCUGGCAGCCAUGUACAGGGAAUCUGAGGGCUCCCUCGAGAGCAUCUGCAACUGGGUGCUCAGGUGCUUCCCAGUCAAGCUCCGCUGA
This 2868-nucleotide small RNA is filed under the name Pongo abelii (Sumatran orangutan). RNAcentral describes it as "retained intron". The record is from RNAcentral. Lineage: Eukaryota; Metazoa; Chordata; Mammalia; Primates; Hominidae.